CGAUACAGGGUGACAGCCCCGUACACAAAAAUGCACAUGCUGUGAGCUCGAUGAGUAGGGCGGGACACGUGGUAUCCUGUCUGAAUAUGGGGGGACCAUCCUCCAAGGCUAAAUACUCCUGACUGACCGAUAGUGAACCAGUACCGUGAGGGAAAGGCGAAAAGAACCCCGGCGAGGGGAGUGAAAAAGAACCUGAAACCGUGUACGUACAAGCAGUGGGAGCACAGAGCAAUCUGUGUGACUGCGUACCUUUUGUAUAAUGGGUCAGCGACUUAUAUUCUGUAGCAAGGUUAACCGAAUAGGGGAGCCGAAGGGAAACCGAGUCUUAACUGGGCGUUAAGUUGCAGGGUAUAGACCCGAAACCCGGUGAUCUAGCCAUGGGCAGGUUGAAGGUUGGGUAACACUAACUGGAGGACCGAACCGACUAAUGUUGAAAAAUUAGCGGAUGACUUGUGGCUGGGGGUGAAAGGCCAAUCAAACCGGGAGAUAGCUGGUUCUCCCCGAAAGCUAUUUAGGUAGCGCCUCGUGAAUUCAUCUCCGGGGGUAGAGCACUGUUUCGGCAAGGGGGUCAUCCCGACUUACCAACCCGAUGCAAACUGCGAAUACCGGAGAAUGUUAUCACGGGAGACACACGGCGGGUGCUAACGUCCGUCGUGAAGAGGGAAACAACCCAGACCGCCAGCUAAGGUCCCAAAGUCAUGGUUAAGUGGGAAACGAUGUGGGAAGGCCCAGACAGCCAGGAUGUUGGCUUAGAAGCAGCCAUCAUUUAAAGAAAGCGUAAUAGCUCACUGGUCGAGUCGGCCUGCGCGGAAGAUGUAACGGGGCUAAACCAUG
Molecule: ribosomal RNA, 834 nt
Filed under: Escherichia coli
Lineage: Bacteria; Pseudomonadati; Pseudomonadota; Gammaproteobacteria; Enterobacterales; Enterobacteriaceae
Description: partial 23S ribosomal RNA
Rfam family: Bacterial large subunit ribosomal RNA
Source: RNAcentral